Molecule: ribosomal RNA, 305 nt
Filed under: uncultured bacterium
Lineage: Bacteria
Description: partial 16S ribosomal RNA
Rfam family: Bacterial small subunit ribosomal RNA
Source: RNAcentral
UCCUACGGGGGGCAGCAGUGGGGGAUAUUGCACAAUGGGGGAAACCCUGAUGCAGCGACGCCGCGUGAGUGAAGAAGUAUUUCGGUAUGUAAAGCUCUAUCCGCAGGGAAGAAAAAAGACGGUACCUGACUAAGAAGCCUCGGCUAACUACGUGCCAGCAGCCGCGGUAAUACGUAGGGGGCAAGCGUUAUCCGGAUUUACUGGGUGUAAAGGGAGCGUAGACGGCAAUACGAGUCGGAAGUGAAAUACCCGGGCUUAACCUGGGAACUGCUUUGGAAACUGUAUGGCUGGAGUGCUGGAGAGGG